This 536-nucleotide long non-coding RNA is filed under the name Helianthus annuus (common sunflower). RNAcentral describes it as "sRNA HanXRQr2_Chr14g0657941". Lineage: Eukaryota; Viridiplantae; Streptophyta; Magnoliopsida; Asterales; Asteraceae. The record is from RNAcentral.
GUGUUUUGCUUUUUUGUUAGCGAGGCUGAUUAUAGUGGUCUGGAGACCUAGCCGCCACCUCCGACGACGGUGGAUUGGAUUCUGAUGAUGAUUCCGGUGACGAUAGAAGGCUCCUCCGGCGAUGCUUGAUUUCUGACUCGGCAACUACGAGCCGGUUCGAGGGAUUUGUGACUGAUGACCAAUUUCUCGAAGCUACUGUAUGGAGCAAAUCGCUUCUUCCUUCAACAGGUGUGCUUCAACUAGGGUUCACAUCAGCAACAUACAUUAAUCCAACUCUAUUGCUACCAAGUACAAAAUGUCCAUUUGGUGAUCAUAUACAGGACAACAGGAGAAGCCGCCGCGCUAGACAUUCAUGAUCAAGAAGAAGCUCGCGAAGGAGAACAAGCCCAUUGCUCUCGCUAGAUUCGUACGGUACAAAGCGUAAAACCAGGCUUGAGUUCUAAGGUGUUCUCUAUGAUGUCUUGAUUUUUGCUAAAGGCUAUGAAUUUGAUGAUGAAUCUGUUCGAUCACAUGUUUUCCAUGUACCUUGAAUUAUG